This 447-nucleotide ribosomal RNA is filed under the name uncultured bacterium. RNAcentral's name for it is "SSU rRNA". It matches the Rfam family "Bacterial small subunit ribosomal RNA", at positions 26 to 518 of the family's 1533-position model. The record is from RNAcentral.
AGAGCGAACGCUGGCGGCAGGCCUAACACAUGCAAGUCGAGCGCCCGUAGCAAUACGGGAGCGGCAGACGGGAUAGUAACACGUGGGAACGCGCCCUUCGGUUCGGAAUAACUCAGGGAAACUUGAGCUAAUACCGGAUACGCCCUUACGGGGAAAGAUUUAUUGCCGAAGGAACGGCCCGCGUCCGAUUAGCUAGUUGGUGAGGUAAUGGCUCACCAAGGCGACGAUCGGUAGCUGGUCUGAGAGGAUGACCAGCAUCACUGGGACUGAGACACGGCCCAGACUCCUACGGGAGGCAGCAGUGGGGAAUAUUGGACAAUGGGCGCAAGCCUGAUCCAGCCAUGCCGCGUGGAUGAUGAAGGCCCUAGGGUUGUAAAGCUCUUUUGUGCGGGAAGAUAAUGACGGUACCGCAAGAAUAAGCCCGGCUAACUUCGUGCCAGCAGCCGC